RNAcentral lists this ribosomal RNA (409 nucleotides) under uncultured bacterium. RNAcentral's name for it is "bacterial SSU rRNA". It matches the Rfam family "Bacterial small subunit ribosomal RNA", at positions 509 to 916 of the family's 1533-position model. The record is from RNAcentral.
CAGCAGCCGCGGUAAUACAGAGGUCCCAAGCGUUGUUCGGAUUUACUGGGCGUAAAGGGUGCGUAGGUGGUCGGGUAAGUCUGAUGUGAAAUCUCGGAGCUUAACUCCGAAACGGCAUUGGAUACUAUUCGGCUUGAGGGUUGGAGGGGGGACUGGAAUUCUCGGUGUAGCAGUGAAAUGCGUAGAUAUCGAGAGGAACACCAGUGGCGAAGGCGAGUCCCUGGACAACUCCUGACACUGAGGCACGAAAGCCAGGGGAGCAAACGGGAUUAGAUACCCCGGUAGUCCUGGCCCUAAACGGUGCACGUUUGCUGUAAAAGGAAUCGACCCCUUUUGUGGCGUAGCCAACGCGUUAAACGUGCCGCCUGGGAAGUACGGUCGCAAGAUUAAAACUCAAAGGAAUUGACGG